CGGCGAUUUCCGAAUGGGGAAACCCAGUGUGUUUCGACACACUAUCAUUAACUGAAUCCAUAGGUUAAUGAGGCGAACCGGGGGAACUGAAACAUCUAAGUACCCCGAGGAAAAGAAAUCAACCGAGAUUCCCCCAGUAGCGGCGAGCGAACGGGGAGCAGCCCAGAGCCUGAAUCAGUGUGUGUGUUAGUGGAAGCGUCUGGAAAGGCGCGCGAUACAGGGUGACAGCCCCGUACACAAAAAUGCACAUGCUGUGAGCUCGAUGAGUAGGGCGGGACACGUGGUAUCCUGUCUGAAUAUGGGGGGACCAUCCUCCAAGGCUAAAUACUCCUGACUGACCGAUAGUGAACCAGUACCGUGAGGGAAAGGCGAAAAGAACCCCGGCGAGGGGAGUGAAAAAGAACCUGAAACCGUGUACGUACAAGCAGUGGGAGCCUCUUUAUGGGGUGACUGCGUACCUUUUGUAUAAUGGGUCAGCGACUUAUAUUCUGUAGCAAGGUUAACCGAAUAGGGGAGCCGAAGGGAAACCGAGUCUUAACUGGGCGUUAAGUUGCAGGGUAUAGACCCGAAACCCGGUGAUCUAGCCAUGGGCAGGUUGAAGGUUGGGUAACACUAACUGGAGGACCGAACCGACUAAUGUUGAAAAAUUAGCGGAUGACUUGUGGCUGGGGGUGAAAGGCCAAUCAAACCGGGAGAUAGCUGGUUCUCCCCGAAAGCUAUUUAGGUAGCGCCUCGUGAACUCAUCUCCGGGGGUAGAGCACUGUUUCGGCAAGGGGGUCAUCCCGACUUACCAACCCGAUGCAAACUGCGAAUACCGGAGAAUGUUAUCACGGGAGACACACGGCGGGUGCUAACGUCCGUCGUGAAGAGGGAAACAACCCAGACCGCCAGCUAAGGUCCCAAAGUCAUGGUUAAGUGGGAAACGAUGUGGGAAGGCCCAGACAGCCAGGAUGUUGGCUUAGAAGCAGCCAUCAUUUAAAGAAAGCGUAAUAGCUCACUGGUCGAGUCGGCCUGCGCGGAAGAUGUAACGGGGCUAAACCAUGCACCGAAGCUGCGGCAGCGACACUAUGUGUUGUUGGGUAGGGGAGCGUUCUGUAAGCCUGUGAAGGUGUACUGUGAGGUAUGCUGGAGGUAUCAGAAGUGCGAAUGCUGACAUAAGUAACGAUAAAGCGGGUGAAAAGCCCGCUCGCCGGAAGACCAAGGGUUCCUGUCCAACGUUAAUCGGGGCAGGGUGAGUCGACCCCUAAGGCGAGGCCGAAAGGCGUAGUCGAUGGGAAACAGGUUAAUAUUCCUGUACUUGGUGUUACUGCGAAGGGGGGACGGAGAAGGCUAUGUUGGCCGGGCGACGGUUGUCCCGGUUUAAGCGUGUAGGCUGGUUUUCCAGGCAAAUCCGGAAAAUCAAGGCUGAGGCGUGAUGACGAGGCACUACGGUGCUGAAGCAACAAAUGCCCUGCUUCCAGGAAAAGCCUCUAAGCAUCAGGUAACAUCAAAUCGUACCCCAAACCGACACAGGUGGUCAGGUAGAGAAUACCAAGGCGCUUGAGAGAACUCGGGUGAAGGAACUAGGCAAAAUGGUGCCGUAACUUCGGGAGAAGGCACGCUGAUAUGUAGGUGAGGUCCCUCGCGGAUGGAGCUGAAAUCAGUCGAAGAUACCAGCUGGCUGCAACUGUUUAUUAAAAACACAGCACUGUGCAAACACGAAAGUGGACGUAUACGGUGUGACGCCUGCCCGGUGCCGGAAGGUUAAUUGAUGGGGUUAGCGGUAACGCGAAGCUCUUGAUCGAAGCCCCGGUAAACGGCGGCCGUAACUAUAACGGUCCUAAGGUAGCGAAAUUCCUUGUCGGGUAAGUUCCGACCUGCACGAAUGGCGUAAUGAUGGCCAGGCUGUCUCCACCCGAGACUCAGUGAAAUUGAACUCGCUGUGAAGAUGCAGUGUACCCGCGGCAAGACGGAAAGACCCCGUGAACCUUUACUAUAGCUUGACACUGAACAUUGAGCCUUGAUGUGUAGGAUAGGUGGGAGGCUUUGAAGUGUGGACGCCAGUCUGCAUGGAGCCGACCUUGAAAUACCACCCUUUAAUGUUUGAUGUUCUAACGUUGACCCGUAAUCCGGGUUGCGGACAGUGUCUGGUGGGUAGUUUGACUGGGGCGGUCUCCUCCUAAAGAGUAACGGAGGAGCACGAAGGUUGGCUAAUCCUGGUCGGACAUCAGGAGGUUAGUGCAAUGGCAUAAGCCAGCUUGACUGCGAGCGUGACGGCGCGAGCAGGUGCGAAAGCAGGUCAUAGUGAUCCGGUGGUUCUGAAUGGAAGGGCCAUCGCUCAACGGAUAAAAGGUACUCCGGGGAUAACAGGCUGAUACCGCCCAAGAGUUCAUAUCGACGGCGGUGUUUGGCACCUCGAUGUCGGCUCAUCACAUCCUGGGGCUGAAGUAGGUCCCAAGGGUAUGGCUGUUCGCCAUUUAAAGUGGUACGCGAGCUGGGUUUAGAACGUCGUGAGACAGUUCGGUCCCUAUCUGCCGUGGGCGCUGGAGAACUGAGGGGGGCUGCUCCUAGUACGAGAGGACCGGAGUGGACGCAUCACUGGUGUUCGGGUUGUCAUGCCAAUGGCAC
Molecule: ribosomal RNA, 2607 nt
Filed under: Escherichia coli
Lineage: Bacteria; Pseudomonadati; Pseudomonadota; Gammaproteobacteria; Enterobacterales; Enterobacteriaceae
Description: partial 23S ribosomal RNA
Rfam family: Bacterial large subunit ribosomal RNA
Source: RNAcentral